GGCGAACGCUGGCGGCGUGCUUAACACAUGCAAGUCGAACGGAAAGGCCCUGCUUUUGUGGGGUGCUCGAGUGGCGAACGGGUGAGUAACACGUGAGUAACCUGCCCUUGACUUUGGGAUAACUUCAGGAAACUGGGGCUAAUACCGGAUAGGAGCUCCUGCUGCAUGGUGGGGGUUGGAAAGUUUCGGCGGUUGGGGAUGGACUCGCGGCUUAUCAGCUUGUUGGUGGGGUAGUGGCUUACCAAGGCUUUGACGGGUAGCCGGCCUGAGAGGGUGACCGGCCACAUUGGGACUGAGAUACGGCCCAGACUCCUACGGGAGGCAGCAGUGGGGAAUAUUGCACAAUGGGCGGAAGCCUGAUGCAGCAACGCCGCGUGCGGGAUGACGGCCUUCGGGUUGUAAACCGCUUUCGCCUGUGACGAAGCGUGAGUGACGGUAAUGGGUAAAGAAGCACCGGCUAACUACGUGCCAGCAGCCGCGGUGAUACGUAGGGUGCGAGCGUUGUCCGGAUUUAUUGGGCGUAAAGGGCUCGUAGGUGGUUGAUCGCGUCGGAAGUGUAAUCUUGGGGCUUAACCCUGAGCGUGCUUUCGAUACGGGUUGACUUGAGGUUGGUAGGGGAGAAUGGAAUUCCUGGUGGAGCGGUGGAAUGCGCAGAUAUCAGGAGGAACACCAGUGGCGAAGGCGGUUCUCUGGGCCUUUCCUGACGCUGAGGAGCGAAAGCGUGGGGAGCGAACAGGCUUAGAUACCCUGGUAGUCCACGCUGUAAACGGUGGGUACUAGGUGUGGGGUCCAUUCCACGGGUUCCGUGCCGUAGCUAACGCUUUAAGUACCCCGCCUGGGGAGUACGGCCGCAAGGCUAAAACUCAAAGGAAUUGACGGGGCCCCGCACAAGCGGCGGAGCAUGCGGAUUAAUUCGAUGCAACGCGUAGAACCUUACCUGGGUUUGACAUGGAUCGGGAGUGCUCAGAGAUGGGUGUGCCUCUUUUGGGGUCGGUUCACAGGUGGUGCAUGGCUGUCGUCAGCUCGUGUCGUGAGAUGUUGGGUUAAGUCCCGCAACGAGCGCAACCCUUGUUCACUGUUGCCAGCACGUUAUGGUGGGGACUCAGUGGAGACCGCCGGGGUCAACUCGGAGGAAGGUGGGGAUGACGUCAAGUCAUCAUGCCCCUUAUGUCCAGGGCUUCACGCAUGCUACAAUGGCUGGUACAGAGAGUGGCGAGCCUGUGAGGGUGAGCGAAUCUCGGAAAGCCGGUCUCAGUUCGGAUUGGGGUCUGCAACUCGACCUCAUGAAGUCGGAGUCGCUAGUAAUCGCAGAUCAGCAACGCUGCGGUGAAUACGUUCCCGGGGCU
This 1346-nucleotide ribosomal RNA is filed under the name uncultured bacterium. RNAcentral's name for it is "partial 16S ribosomal RNA". It matches the Rfam family "Bacterial small subunit ribosomal RNA", at positions 28 to 1381 of the family's 1533-position model. The record is from RNAcentral.